GCUCCUUUUAGAGAAGAGCUGAUUUUCUAAUAAGGUCUGAGGGCAGGGGUCUUUCCAGCAUCACCAGUUCCAUAGCUUGGUUCUACUUUGUACCAACCUGCAUAAGCAUAACAGACACACGGGCUGAGAGAAGUCUCCCCACAGCUCUCAUUUCCCUCUUUAAGUGGAAGGCCUGCUAGUGGAUUGCAAUGGUAUCACUUCUUCCUUUUCUUCAGAAGGCUUUGGUCUGCCACACCCAACCACUUCAAUGGCUGUCGCAUUCUACGUUCCCCAAGAGAGCUUUCCACAGGCUUCCAUUUCUGCAGCUUUAGAAGGCAUCUGAUCCAGGAGCUUCAUUUAAGGAAGCCCAAAAGAGACACGGAAGCACCUGGGCAGUAAGAGGCUGAGCAAGAAAGGAUGGCAGGUGUGCUUGCUUCCAAGUUCGUGCCUCUCAACCACCAUCCACUUCCGCCUUUGAUGUUUUCCUGCAGCCUCGACUCUGUGUACACCCUCAGACCAGCGCUUAUUCUCAUCUCUACCAGCUGCAACCUCAACUGUGCUCUAGCCACCAGCGCCAUCUCUGACAUAGGAGGGCACCCACUGCCUUCUCAGGAGGCUGGGUAGUCAUGAAACUUUGAUGAUGAGCCAAAAUGAGAAAAGCCUAAGCAAGGACCCAGCA
Molecule: long non-coding RNA, 658 nt
Filed under: Rhinopithecus bieti (black snub-nosed monkey)
Lineage: Eukaryota; Metazoa; Chordata; Mammalia; Primates; Cercopithecidae
Description: lncRNA (ENSRBIG00000046491.1)
Source: RNAcentral